CCCACACAGCCAGUUCCUCCUCCUUUUUGCAGUCUCACUGACUGCAGAGAGGGAGUUCUCCGUGACGUCCAAAUUCGGAUGAGAGAGCAGGGCAGGAGAGCGGAACUGCAGGAGUCCAGACUUGUUCCUUCUCAUCAUCACCACGAAACAGCGCAGUAGGAGUCAGAACCCAAAAGUGAAAAGGUUGCUCAUGGGCGUCUGAGGGAAGAACAACACAUUUCUCACAAAACCCAGGCUCCUGUUGACAGCAAAGACUGACUGAAGCUGCAGUAUAUUAAGGCAGCAGGUUCCCACAAAACAUUUCCAGGACAAGAUCAAAUUUUAUGAGCUGUGUAAGCUUUUGCUGUGUGGCAUUUCAAGGAGGUGCAUAAAAUGCUUCAGGGAACCUACCGAAAGCAUUCCGUGGCUGGGAAGGGACCAGUGCAGGGUGGCUGUAAAGAAUCCACCUCCCAGGCAGUCCAGAUACAAUAUGCAGAUGAAGAUAACAAAAAUCAGAGACGCUUGAAAGGAGGAUGAAAUAAAAUAGCUCCCACACCCUUAAGGGCUUCCCUCUUCAUUUCAAUGGAGGCAACAAAUCCAAGUAUAUGUUCCUUCGUGGGAUGUGGAGUUCUGUGUCCAGUGAAAUAAAUGUGGUAUUUGGGAUGA
Long non-coding RNA from Hemicordylus capensis (graceful crag lizard), 645 nucleotides. RefSeq lists it as uncharacterized. The record is from RefSeq and is a predicted model, not a curated record. The transcript has 3 exons. Lineage: Eukaryota; Metazoa; Chordata; Lepidosauria; Squamata; Cordylidae.